RNAcentral lists this ribosomal RNA (452 nucleotides) under uncultured bacterium. RNAcentral describes it as "SSU rRNA". It matches the Rfam family "Bacterial small subunit ribosomal RNA", at positions 26 to 518 of the family's 1533-position model. The record is from RNAcentral.
AGAGCGAACGCUGGCGGCAUGCUUAACACAUGCAAGUCGCACGGGCAGGGGCAACCCUGUCAGUGGCGGACGGGUGAGUAACGCGUAGGUAUCUAUCCUUGGGUGGGGGACAACUGUGGGAAACUACAGCUAAUACCGCAUGAUAACUGAGGUUUAAAGGCGCAAGUCGCCUGGGGAGGAGCCUGCGUACGAUUAGCUUGUUGGUGGGGUAAAGGCCUACCAAGGCGACGAUCGUUAGCUGGUCUGAGAGGAUGAUCAGCCACAUUGGGACUGAGACACGGCCCAAACUCCUACGGGAGGCAGCAGUGGGGAAUAUUGGACAAUGGGCGCAAGCCUGAUCCAGCAAUGCCGCGUGUGUGAAGAAGGUCUUCGGAUUGUAAAGCACUUUCGACGGGGACGAUGAUGACGGUACCCGUAGAAGAAGCCCCGGCUAACUUCGUGCCAGCAGCCGC